CGAGCGAGACCCGCGCCCACAGUUGCCAGCAUGUUCUCCGGAACGAUGGGCACACUGUGGGGACCGCCGCUGCUAAAGCGGAGGAAGGAACGGGCUACGGUAGGUCAGUAUGCCCCGAAUCUCCCGGGCCACACGCGGGCUACAAUGGUUGGGACAAUGGGCACCUACCCCGAAAGGGGAUGGUAAUCUCGAAACCCAACCGUAGUUCGGAUUGAGGGCUGUAACUCGCCCUCAUGAAGCUGGAAUCCGUAGUAAUCGCGUAUCAACAUUGCGCGGUGAAUACGUCCCUGCUCCUUGCACACACCGCCCGUCAAACCAUGCGAGUGAGGUCUGGGUGAGGGCGUGAUCUUUAUCACGUUCGAACCUGGGCUUCGCAAGUGGGGUUAAGUCGUAACAAGGUAACC
This 404-nucleotide ribosomal RNA is filed under the name uncultured archaeon. RNAcentral describes it as "bacterial SSU rRNA". It matches the Rfam family "Archaeal small subunit ribosomal RNA", at positions 1042 to 1448 of the family's 1478-position model. The record is from RNAcentral.